AGGUGGAUUCCUUACCAACUGAGCUAUGAGGGAAGCCCUGUGCUUUACAAGUGUGCCAGGGAAAUGACGUGUGAUCAGCAGGACAGAUUAUUCUUCUGUGACUAUUAAAAAUACUAAAGUGAGAAAUCUGCAGCUUGAAAUAGAAAAGAAACAAAUGUAAUCAGUGUUCUCAUAGCAACAAAUGCUAGAACCAUUGUGCUUACCCAUGAACUGUCACAGUGGUAUUGAGAUGCUAGGGUAAUACAAGUGGCAGUAAGUGGUGACUACCCUUGUUUUGUUAGAAAUUUUCUUCUGUAGCUAACCAUUUUCUCCCUCUUUAACCUUGUCCAAAUAUAAUAUAUCCUUUCCAUGUCAGUGUAUUUUAAAGUUUUCAAGAUAAUUUCUAAAACCUGAAAAUUCUAUU
This is a long non-coding RNA of Bubalus bubalis (water buffalo), 403 nucleotides long. RefSeq lists it as uncharacterized. The record is from RefSeq and is a predicted model, not a curated record. The transcript has 2 exons. NCBI's taxonomy places the organism in Eukaryota, Metazoa, Chordata, Mammalia, Artiodactyla, Bovidae.